This 108-nucleotide ribosomal RNA is filed under the name Escherichia coli. Lineage: Bacteria; Pseudomonadati; Pseudomonadota; Gammaproteobacteria; Enterobacterales; Enterobacteriaceae. The record is from RNAcentral.
CCUGGCGGCCUUAGCGCGGUGGUCCCACCUGACCCCAUGCCGAACUCAGAAGUGAAACGCCGUAGCGCCGAUGGUAGUGUGGGGUCUCCCCAUGCGAGAGUAGGGAAC